GCACGGAUGGCCGAGUGGUCUAAGGCGCCAGACUCAAGCGAUGCAAGCUUGGCACGAGUUCAGUGCCUCCUGGGUGUUCUGGUACCCGUAUGGGUGCGUGGGUUCGAACCCCACUCCGUGCA
Molecule: transfer RNA, 122 nt
Filed under: Pristionchus pacificus
Lineage: Eukaryota; Metazoa; Nematoda; Chromadorea; Rhabditida; Neodiplogasteridae
Rfam family: tRNA
About the family: Transfer RNA (tRNA) molecules are approximately 80 nucleotides in length. Their secondary structure includes four short double-helical elements and three loops (D, anti-codon, and T loops).
Source: Rfam by way of RNAcentral